GAAGUCGGUUAGGCAACCGCCGCGUGCUUCGGCACGGGGAGGAAAGUCCGGGCUCCGCAGAGCAGGAUGCCGGUUAACGACCGGGCACCGCAAGGUGACGGAAAGUGCAACAGAGAAUAGACCGCCGAUGGCUCCCUCGGGCGACCGAGGGAGAUCAGGCAAGGGUGAAACGGCGAGGUAAGAGCUCACCGCGGACGUGGUAACACGGACGGCACGGCAAACCCCAUCCGGAGCAAGGCCAAAUAGGGAAGCAUCAGGCGUGGCUCGCGCCGCUUCCGGGUAGGCUGCUUGAGCGUACUGGCAACAGUGCGCCUAGAGGAAUGGUUGCCCGCGACAGAACCCGGCUUAUCGACCGGCUUCCCAC
Candidatus Accumulibacter sp. 66-26 is the source of this 364-nucleotide non-coding RNA. The record is from Rfam. NCBI's taxonomy places the organism in Bacteria, Pseudomonadati, Pseudomonadota, Betaproteobacteria.